RNAcentral lists this ribosomal RNA (1378 nucleotides) under Akkermansia muciniphila. RNAcentral's name for it is "bacterial SSU rRNA". It matches the Rfam family "Bacterial small subunit ribosomal RNA". The record is from RNAcentral. Lineage: Bacteria; Pseudomonadati; Verrucomicrobiota; Verrucomicrobiia; Verrucomicrobiales; Akkermansiaceae.
AUGCAAGUCGAACGAGAGAAUUGCUAGCUUGCUAAUAAUUCUCUAGUGGCGCACGGGUGAGUAACACGUGAGUAACCUGCCCCCGAGAGCGGGAUAGCCCUGGGAAACUGGGAUUAAUACCGCAUAGUAUCGAAAGAUUAAAGCAGCAAUGCGCUUGGGGAUGGGCUCGCGGCCUAUUAGUUAGUUGGUGAGGUAACGGCUCACCAAGGCGAUGACGGGUAGCCGGUCUGAGAGGAUGUCCGGCCACACUGGAACUGAGACACGGUCCAGACACCUACGGGUGGCAGCAGUCGAGAAUCAUUCACAAUGGGGGAAACCCUGAUGGUGCGACGCCGCGUGGGGGAAUGAAGGUCUUCGGAUUGUAAACCCCUGUCAUGUGGGAGCAAAUUAAAAAGAUAGUACCACAAGAGGAAGAGACGGCUAACUCUGUGCCAGCAGCCGCGGUAAUACAGAGGUCUCAAGCGUUGUUCGGAAUCACUGGGCGUAAAGCGUGCGUAGGCUGUUUCGUAAGUCGUGUGUGAAAGGCGCGGGCUCAACCCGCGGACGGCACAUGAUACUGCGAGACUAGAGUAAUGGAGGGGGAACCGGAAUUCUCGGUGUAGCAGUGAAAUGCGUAGAUAUCGAGAGGAACACUCGUGGCGAAGGCGGGUUCCUGGACAUUAACUGACGCUGAGGCACGAAGGCCAGGGGAGCGAAAGGGAUUAGAUACCCCUGUAGUCCUGGCAGUAAACGGUGCACGCUUGGUGUGCGGGGAAUCGACCCCCUGCGUGCCGGAGCUAACGCGUUAAGCGUGCCGCCUGGGGAGUACGGUCGCAAGAUUAAAACUCAAAGAAAUUGACGGGGACCCGCACAAGCGGUGGAGUAUGUGGCUUAAUUCGAUGCAACGCGAAGAACCUUACCUGGGCUUGACAUGUAAUGAACAACAUGUGAAAGCAUGCGACUCUUCGGAGGCGUUACACAGGUGCUGCAUGGCCGUCGUCAGCUCGUGUCGUGAGAUGUUUGGUUAAGUCCAGCAACGAGCGCAACCCCUGUUGCCAGUUACCAGCACGUGAAGGUGGGGACUCUGGCGAGACUGCCCAGAUCAACUGGGAGGAAGGUGGGGACGACGUCAGGUCAGUAUGGCCCUUAUGCCCAGGGCUGCACACGUACUACAAUGCCCAGUACAGAGGGGGCCGAAGCCGCGAGGCGGAGGAAAUCCUGAAAACUGGGCCCAGUUCGGACUGUAGGCUGCAACCCGCCUACACGAAGCCGGAAUCGCUAGUAAUGGCGCAUCAGCUACGGCGCCGUGAAUACGUUCCCGGGUCUUGUACACACCGCCCGUCACAUCAUGGAAGCCGGUCGCACCCGAAGUAUCUGAAGCCAACCGCAAGGAGGCAGG